CGAAGAUUUGCAUUAGAUAAAUU
Molecule: small RNA, 23 nt
Filed under: Arabidopsis thaliana (thale cress)
Lineage: Eukaryota; Viridiplantae; Streptophyta; Magnoliopsida; Brassicales; Brassicaceae
Description: ATSL183720
Source: RNAcentral